This 253-nucleotide ribosomal RNA is filed under the name uncultured bacterium. Its description in RNAcentral is "partial 16S ribosomal RNA". It matches the Rfam family "Bacterial small subunit ribosomal RNA", at positions 524 to 776 of the family's 1533-position model. The record is from RNAcentral.
UACGUAGGGGGCUAGCGUUGUCCGGAAUCAUUGGGCGUAAAGCGCGCGUAGGCGGCCCGGUAAGUCCGCUGUAAAAGUCCAGGGCUCAACCCUGGAAAGCCGGUGGAUACUGUCGGGCUCGAGUCCGGGAGAGGGAUGUGGAAUUCCAGGUGUAGCGGUGAAAUGCGUAGAUAUCUGGAGGAACACCGGUGGCGAAGGCGGCAUCCUGGACCGGUAUUGACGCUGAGGCGCGAAAGCUAGGGGAGCAAACGGG